AGCAACACAGGAAUCUAGACCAAUCUGUAUGCAGAUACAAUGCUUCAAGUUCAUUACUGUUAUUAGGAAAUGGAAAUACAGCCAGAGUAGAAAUAACAGUCUAUUUCUCUCUGCCUGUGUUGUAUUUUUGUCAAUGGGGCUUCUGAAGGACUACACGUGCAUUUACUAACCCAUUAGAAUGAGUGAUUUUAUAUCCUAAUGUAGAAUUAAAGGAAUUUAAGGAUCUGCCUAGGAAAUACACUUGUUUAAACCUAAAUUAAUGUCUCUAUUAGUUGUGUUGGCUAGGUCAGUGGUAUAUUACUGGAAAAGAAAAUGUCCCAGCCCUGUGCGUGCUUUCUAAAAUCUCAGUGUAUUUCUUUUCUGACAAGAUAGAGGGCUGAUUUUCUUCUCCUCUGUCCAAAAUAUAAAACACAGGGACAACAUAACUAUUCUUAAAUGCAAAACAUCACAUCAAAUCUUUAUCAAAAAAAUCUCAUUCCUAUUACGGCAUUCUCCAUUUUUCUGUGAGGCCUCUCCCAACUCUCACCUUUGAGGCCAGUCAUUUCUUUUCCUUAGGCCCAACCAGCAGUAUUUGCUGUGGUAUUUACCAGGGCCUCCCCUAGGUUGUGCGGGAUCCUGGGCAAGUAUUCUUUUGUGGGGCCUCUGUCCCUGUUAACAAUUUGAUUGAAACACGUGUUAAAAAAUGCAUGGGCCACUGAGAGGCAUUGAUUUAUCAGUGAAGAUUUAGAAUCAUGGGUAGAAGAGAUACUUAUGUACUUAUUUCUUCUCCCGUCAGUGCUUGUGAAGCACCUCCUUCUCUCCAGACACCACCUCUUCCCGUCCAAGUCUAGGAGCCAUCUCCUCAUUGUGUUUAUUGCCAAAAGCACCCGUCCUUGAUAAUUCUACACCCCUGCCCACCGUUGUCACCCAGGACACAUGACUCUUUGGAACCUGUUUGUAUCAAAACAAUACAGCUCAUCUUGCCUUUGAGGCUUCCCCGGUCCACGUACUGAGGGCGGGCUCUACUGUGGUACCUCCCUCAAGUGGUUCAGGAACACCGGCCUCCAGGGAUAAUCUCAAAGGCGUUACUGUGCUUUGUUGAUGAUAAUGACAAAUGCACCCCUUCCCAGAGAAUGCAGUGACACUCGGAUGAUUGCGGUCAUGUAGUCAAUGUAUUAGUUUCACGUCAUCAGGACAGGACAGAGCGCCUUCCAGCUGCAUCUUGAGCUCUUUAGAUGCUCAUCCCUGUGCCCUCUCUCAGGGUCGAUCACAGCUUUGCUGUCAUAACUCAGGGGCAGGGCGAGGUGAGAGGAGUGGGCCAUCAGUGUAGGAGGACCCACCCUUAUCCUGCGGGGGCUUCACACGCACCUGGAAAGGACAACUAGACAGGAUUCCUACUGGAUUUACUGCUCUUUCUAGAAAAAAUGCCAACCUAAAGGUUUGCAGACCGUCUUCUUGAGUUAUCCCAGAAACAAUCCAUCAGGUCUUCUGAGAUAACUGGGAACCUUGACAAAUAAAAAUAGUGUCCUGGAUGUCCCAGCCACUGUGCAUGUGUGUGUAUGUCAACAGUUGGAAGUGCCGAGCGGUUUUCAUAAUUUUCUGCACCCGUUUGUGAAGUGUACUUUGGUGCUGAUUUUAUUUUUCCUUUGUGAAAGGGGUGUUGAUGUAGAGUAGGCUGUGUGUGUUGGGGGGCAGGGAGUAUGUGGGAACACUCUGUACUUUUAGCUCAAUUUUACUGUGAACCUAAAACAGCUUAAAAAAAAAAAAACACAAACAAACCCAAACUGUUUAACAGGAAAGACAAACAAAAGGACUGGCUGGAAGAGUGUGAUGUCACCACGUUGACUGAGAGUGGGAGAGGGUGGUUUAAAAAGCCUCACACUGUUAUGGGGCAAUGGUCUGGAAAGCUCUCAGAGGAUAUGGGUGUAGUCACCCAUGUGGCGUGGAGACUACAGAAGAGUUGGGGUGACCCCCCUGCAUGCCAGGGUCUGGCCACCACCCCAGCUGCCCCUGGGUGCUGUGGACCAGAGGCAGCACUGUGGGUGGAACACAGAGCCAGUCCAUAGAUUCAUACACCUGUCCAAGAGUUGCCGUGGUCCUUCGGGAGCUCAGAGCCCUGAACUUGUCCGGAGUCUGACAUAAGUGAGAAUCUCCAAAAUCGUCAUGUCAGCACCAUUCUGACAACCUGGUGUCAUGCAAACCUUUGAGACCAAAAUGGCAGGACGCGGUCAUGGGUUUGUAACUUCAAAUAAAACCAGGACUGGGGUUCAGGGUGGGGGCAGGGGCACUGGAUGGAGAUCCCACCCGACCUGGGAGUGGGAUCAGGGUGGACACUCAGAGCAAAACAGAACACGACUCCAGACAAGUCCUCUCCGCUGGGACCACCCCUUUGCUGGGUGUGAUCUUUCAGGGUCUUUGCUGUUUGCCUUAGAUCCCUAGGGAAGCUUUAACUCAGGUAACAGAAAACCCCCACGUUUCAGUGGCUGGACCUGAUGGAAUCUGCUUUCUGGUAAAAAUCCAGCAGGGGCGUCCUGGCUGCCAGGCAAUGUCCAGGACCCAGGCGUCUCCCUUGGUGGAGCCUAAGGCUGUGGCUGCCUCUGCAUCUGGAUGGGGGUUGGGGGCAGGGCAAAGGGAUGGAGAUGGGCCUCUUAACACCCAGGAAGUUGAUGAGAACGAAGCCCCUUGCCCUCCUCCGUGUCCCAGAACCCUGGAGGGUGCUCUCUUGAAAGGAGUUCCAGUCGUGGCGCAGUGGUUAACGAAUCCGACUAGGAACCAUAAGGUUGCGGGUUCGGUCCCUGCCCUUGCUCAGUGGGUUAACGAUCCGGCGUUGCGGUGAGCUGUGGUGUAGGUUGCAGAUGCGGCUCGGAUCCCGCGUUGCUGUGGCU
Molecule: long non-coding RNA, 2864 nt
Filed under: Sus scrofa (pig)
Lineage: Eukaryota; Metazoa; Chordata; Mammalia; Artiodactyla; Suidae
Description: lncRNA (ENSSSCG00045030612.1)
Source: RNAcentral